UCUUUCUGGAGAUCCCUCCUUGGUGGAUUUUUUCCCUCUGAACCUGGAAUCUUCUGGUAUGGCAUGUGAACUGUCACACCAAGAAUACAGCACUGAAAAUCGGAAUGGUUACUUCAACAUGGACAAACUGCCUGCUUUUGGAAAUGGAUGGAUGGGAAAUGAUUUCCAUCAUUGAUUUUCCUUCACAGACUUUCCCAAAGACAAUAUUUUGAAAACUGGACAUCAUGAGGAAAGAGCCAGGUCUUCUUUGAGUCCCCUAAAAUAUGAAACCAA
RNAcentral lists this long non-coding RNA (273 nucleotides) under Gallus gallus (chicken). Lineage: Eukaryota; Metazoa; Chordata; Aves; Galliformes; Phasianidae. The record is from RNAcentral.